GUCCAGACUCCUACGGGAGGCAGCAGUGGGGAAUAUUGCACAAUGGGGGAAACCCUGAUGCAGCGACGCCGCGUGAGUGAAGAAGUAUUUCGGUAUGUAAAGCUCUAUCAGCAGGGAAGAAAAUGACGGUACCUGACUAAGAAGCCCCGGCUAACUACGUGCCAGCAGCCGCGGUAAUACGUAGGGGGCAAGCGUUAUCCGGAUUUACUGGGUGUAAAGGGAGCGUAGACGGCAUGGCAAGUCAGAUGUGAAAGCCCGGGGCUCAACCCCGGGACUGCAUUUGAAACUGUCAGGCUGGAGUGCAGGAGAGGUAAGUGGAAUUCCUAGUGUAGCGGUGAAAUGCGUAGAUAUUAGGAGGAACACCAGUGGCGAAGGCGGCUUACUGGACUGUAACUGACGUUGAGGCUCGAAAGCGUGGGGAGCAAACAGGAUUAGAUACCCCAGUAUUA
Molecule: ribosomal RNA, 449 nt
Filed under: uncultured bacterium
Lineage: Bacteria
Description: bacterial SSU rRNA
Rfam family: Bacterial small subunit ribosomal RNA
Source: RNAcentral